UAAAAGUCGUAACAAGGUUUCCGUAGGUGAACCUGCGGAAGGAUCAUUAAUGAAUUGUAGGACGCUCUUUUUAGAGGUCCGACCCUUUCAUUUCCUUACACUGUGCACACACUUCUUUUUACACACAUUUUAACACAUUAGUAUAAGAAUGUAACAGUCUCUUAAUUGAGCAUAAUUAAAAACAAAACUUUCAGCAACGGAUCUCUUGGCUCUCGCAUCGAUGAAGAACGCAGCGAAUUGCGAUAAGUAAUGUGAAUUGCAGAAUUCAGUGAAUCAUCGAAUCUUUGAACGCACCUUGCACUCUUUGGUAUUCCGAAGAGUAUGUCUGUUUGAGUGUCAUGAAACUCUCAACCCCCCUAUUUUGUAAUGAAAUGGGCGUGGGCUUGGAUUAUGGCUGUCUGUCGGCGUAAUAGCCGGCUCAGCUGAAAUACACGAGCUACCCUUUUGAAAUAAACGGUUUGACUCGGCGUAAUAAUUAUUUCGCUGAGGACGUUUUCUUCAAAUGUCAGAGGUGCUUCUAAUGCGCUUUUAAGCAACUUAAGCUUUAGACCUCAAAUCAGUCAGGACUACCCGCUGAACUUAAGCAUAUCAAUAAGCGGAGGAAA
Molecule: ribosomal RNA, 605 nt
Filed under: uncultured eukaryote
Lineage: Eukaryota
Description: eukaryotic LSU rRNA
Rfam family: 5.8S ribosomal RNA (bases 186-339)
Source: RNAcentral